CCUUCGAUAGCUCAGCUGGUAGAGCGGAGGACUGUAGAUCCUUAGGUCGGUGGUUCGAUUCCGCCUCGAAGGA
This 73-nucleotide transfer RNA is filed under the name Saimiri boliviensis boliviensis (Bolivian squirrel monkey). RNAcentral's name for it is "tRNA-Tyr (GTA) (tRNA-Tyr-GTA-4-1)". It matches the Rfam family "tRNA". Rfam says of the family: Transfer RNA (tRNA) molecules are approximately 80 nucleotides in length. Their secondary structure includes four short double-helical elements and three loops (D, anti-codon, and T loops). Further hydrogen bonds mediate the characteristic L-shaped molecular structure. tRNAs have two regions of fundamental functional importance: the anti-codon, which is responsible for specific mRNA codon recognition, and the 3' end, to which the tRNAs corresponding amino acid is attached (by aminoacyl-tRNA synthetases). tRNAs cope with the degeneracy of the genetic code in two manners: having more than one tRNA (with a specific anti-codon) for a particular amino acid; and 'wobble' base-pairing, i.e. permitting non-standard base-pairing at the 3rd anti-codon position. The record is from RNAcentral. Lineage: Eukaryota; Metazoa; Chordata; Mammalia; Primates; Cebidae. RNAcentral also lists the same sequence under 1 other name.